This 862-nucleotide long non-coding RNA is filed under the name Homo sapiens (human). RNAcentral's name for it is "long intergenic non-protein coding RNA 1539". The record is from RNAcentral. Lineage: Eukaryota; Metazoa; Chordata; Mammalia; Primates; Hominidae.
CCUCCCUCUCCUGCUGGUACAAGGAUAUGAUUGUUGUUUUGUUUGCUAGACAUGAUUUUAGGAUUUUGUCAAGGAAGCCAUCUAUGACCCCAAUCAAUCAAAACCAUAAGGAUCAAGGCUGGAAGAACCUAUUCCUUAGAGCAAAGGAUGCAAUGUCAAGCAAGUUGUGAUACCUCAACUAUCUACAAUUUAACACCAAGGAAAGAACACUGUUUGGAGAAAUGAGAAAGAUUAUCAUCAGUGUCUUUCAGAAGUCAUCAAAAGAAGAAAAGGAGAAAAGAGAGGAGAAAGCAGAAAGAUCUGGAGUCUGGGAAGUUCAAGAGCAUGGCACCAACAUCUGGCAAGGGCUUUCAUUCUGCAUCAUCUCAUGGAGGAAAAUAAAAAGAUUUCAGGUAAAUCCAGAUUUGGAGCUUAAAUGACUCAAAUGCUUUGCCUACAUUGAUCCUACAUUCAGGCUGCUUACAUAUCUCUUGGCUUCUCUGAGAACCAGAUUGUCACCACUUAAAGUGUCUUCCAGAGUCCUCACGAGUAUCAGAGAAGGCAUAAUCUGUACACGUGGCUUCAUUUAAAAUGAAAAUAUCAAGCAGUGUCAUUUUCACAAGUAUCCCCACACUGUCUGAGGCUGAAAAGAAGAGUGUAGCUAUGCACACUGCAGUGAGAAGAAAAUUUCAGCUCAAUUGGAGGAUGUAAAGGUACAAGUAAGGUUUCAGCAGAAGCGCUCAUGAACCCCACAUGAAGUCUUUCUUCUUUCUUAGCUCAUACCCCCUUUAAUGCAUGGAUGCUGGCUUAACUUUAUCAGGAGUCAGAAUAGGCUUCUGUGUGUAUUCUUGACUAGAAGUAAAACAAAUAUUUUCUUUCUAAA